AGUGAACGCUGGCGGUAGGCCUAACACAUGCAAGUCGAACGGCAGCACAGUAAGAGCUUGCUCUUACGGGUGGCGAGUGGCGGACGGGUGAGGAAUACAUCGGAAUCUACUUUUUCGUGGGGGAUAACGUAGGGAAACUUACGCUAAUACCGCAUACGACCUACGGGUGAAAGCAGGGGAUCUUCGGACCUUGCGCGAUUGAAUGAGCCGAUGUCGGAUUAGCUAGUUGGCGGGGUAAUGGCCCACCAAGGCGACGAUCCGUAGCUGGUCUGAGAGGAUGAUCAGCCACACUGGAACUGAGACACGGUCCAGACUCCUACGGGAGGCAGCAGUGGGGAAUGUUGGACAAUGGGCGCAAGCCUGAUCCAGCCAUACCGCGUGGGUGAAGAAGGCCUUCGGGUUGUAAAGCCCUUUUGUUGGGAAAGAAAAGCAGCAGGUUAAUACCCCGCUGUUCUGACGGUACCCAAAGAAUAAGCACCGGCUAACUUCGUG
RNAcentral lists this ribosomal RNA (492 nucleotides) under uncultured bacterium. RNAcentral describes it as "partial 16S ribosomal RNA". It matches the Rfam family "Bacterial small subunit ribosomal RNA", at positions 29 to 507 of the family's 1533-position model. The record is from RNAcentral.